Hemibagrus wyckioides is the source of this 2717-nucleotide long non-coding RNA. RefSeq lists it as uncharacterized. Lineage: Eukaryota; Metazoa; Chordata; Actinopteri; Siluriformes; Bagridae. The transcript is spliced from 5 exons. The record is from RefSeq and is a predicted model, not a curated record.
AAAAUGGUCCACAGGACAGGUCUGGGUCACUGGCAGUGCAGCUGAUGAAAGAUCUUCGAUGGCACAAGUUAUUUUAUGUCCAGUGAUGCUGGAUCAAGUCUCUCCUUCUGACUCGGAACUUAAUCUUGGGAAACAUUUUAGUUCUGCGUUGGCUUCCACAAUGAUAAAAUGGGCAUUUGGCAAAGCAAAGCUCCCGGCUCAUGUUACUGAAGGUUUAAAUCUGUAUAGAAAGCUAUGUUAUUUGUGGAACUUGCCCAAAUGUUUCUGGGCGUAAUCCUCCAACAUAUCCUGCUGUGAUUCAGACGGGAGAGAUUUUGGAUGGAACUGGUCGGUUAUCUGGCUCGUGUCGCAAUUUCUUAGACUUGAGACCUCACUGAUGAGGCCUAAUGUUUUCUUAUGUGCUAAUGAGGAUAUUUAGUCGAGCGAAUAGCCGUGUGGUUCAAUCUCGGUAGAGCUGCUCUGAUCUUACUGGCUUUGUUAUGGUGUGUAUGCUGGUAAUGCAGCAGGUUCAAGGACUGUUGAUAUGAUGGAUUGGGUUAUCAGUGUCCUACAGAAGCAUGAGCUCCUGUCAGGUGCCUUUUGAUGUUCGACAGCUCGAAUCUCCUUCGCCGUGCUUUGAUGAUCCACUCUAAAUCCAGAUGAAUCAACAUGGCACGAUAUCCUUGCCUGUUUAAGACUGAUGACUUAUCCUCGAUCGGUCUAGAUGAGACAGAUGUUAUCUGAUUUGAACUGCAUCAGCUUCGGUCUCAAUUGUUCAUCUGGAGGACGCUGUACAGACUGCUUCAAAAUCAAGGUGCUCUGCCAUCUAGACUUGUGUACAGAGAUAUAAAGGCAAAAGAUGUGACUCACAUAAGUGAUAAAUGUGGAACAUCCACAAGACAACCACAUUUUGCUUGGGUACAACUUUCCAGAGGACAGUUUAAACCGCAAGAGUCGGCAGAAGUGUGCCGUGGAGGUCAGUGCUGCUUCCUGAAUCCAACAGAAGGCCGUCUUCAGUUUGGGCUGUGAUGGAGAACAAUAAACGAGCUCACCACAGACAGCGUAGUACACACUAACCCAAUAUCUUUAGUCCCUCAUUUGAAUGGUAGAACCUCAUAUAUUGUAACCUUGACACAGUUUCUACCUCUCUGACACAGUUUCCCCUCCAUAAUAAUCUCCUUCUCCUUUCUUGCCUCCUUCCCUCCUCCCAAACGUCCACAUUCCCAGAGCCCAGAAGUGCUGAGUGCUGUUGUUUGCUCUACACACAGAUUUUUUUUUUUUGCUGAGCGUGUAAGCUGUCCCCAAACAUCUGUUCCCGAGAGUCAUGUAAAGCAGAGGAGAAACAAGGGCUCUGAGACACACAUGUACAUGCUCAUCCCAUCAUGGGUGUUGCAUCUACUUCUUUGUGCAGCCAUUGACAACAAACAAGUGAGUCUUUAUUUUAGAAUGCAGAGAAAGAGAUAAAGCAUCAGGAUGAAAACAAGAGUGAUAAAGAGAUAGCGAGAGUGUUGGGGAACACUGUGCCGCUUAGCAAUAAGCCUUUAUUUGGGGAAGCAUCCAUUACAUUUAGGUACUGCAGUGAAAUACGGAAAGGCUGUUAUAGAAGCAGUGGCAUAUCCCUAGCUCAUGUUGAUAUUACUUUUAAUUUACAUGAAAACAUCUUAUCUAAUGCUACCAGAUACAAUUUUGUUCAAGAAGAAAACAGACAGAAAUGUUUGAUUUGGGAAACUUCCCUCCUCACAAGUGCACUGAAAGGUUUGACACUAAAACAAAAUACAUAAAUAGAAAAUAUCUAAAUACAAUUUUAUAUAUAUAUAUAUAUAUAUAUAUAUAUAUAUAUAUAUAUAUAUAUAUAUAUAUAUAUAUGCAGUAUUACACAUUCAUAUAUAUAUGAAUGUGAACUAUUUAAAAGAUUAGACCUUAUGUAUAAAAACAACCUCAAACCAAAGCUCUAAUAAAUAUGCAUCUGCACUUGUUGUGUUUUAUUGUAGUUCUGACAUACUGUAGUACCUAGGUUCAUAUAGGUUUCAUUUAUUUGCUUUUUUUAUAGUAAUUUAUAGUAUUUACAGUAGUUUUAGGAACAUAGACUGUAGUAUUAAUUGCUCUGCCCUUUGUUUAUUGCUGGAGUUUGACAAUGUAUAUUUUAUGCAGGCAAAAUUUAACCACAUUAAUCCACUCUGUACUGUUUUAUGUGUACACAGGCUCAAAGUUCUGGACAGUGACCUUAAUCUUAAUUGCUCCAGCUGGAUAAUGAACUUUCCUUUCCUUCUUGGUGAAAAAUUAUAUGCAUAUUCCUUAAAUAUAUAAAGAUAUGAACAAGGCAUAUUAGAUUAUAGUGAAUUGAGAAUUGACUAAGAAUUAGUGCACCUAUAAUCUUUUAUAUGCAUAAUAAUAUUGAUGUAGUAGGCGAUGGUGAAAUUGAGACAUUUUUUAUAGGAAAUGACAUUACAAAGUUGUGAAUGGCUUUAAUAUUGUACUUCUAAUCUUUUAACAUAGAUUUGGAUUGAGCUGGAUUGCAAACUUAAAAAAACUAAACGAUUAAACAAUAUUGUGUAUUCUGUUAUUAAGCUGCUUAAUAACAAUGAGCUAUUAUUAUUAUUAUUAUUAUUAUUAUUAUUAUUAUUAUUAUUAUUAUUAUUAUUGUUGUUGUUGUUUUUGUAUUGUUGUUGGUGUUGCUACUUUUUAUUAUCAUCACAAUUGUUUGUGUGUGUGUUUGGAUAAAAUUAAAUAUAUUAUGA